RNAcentral lists this transfer RNA (73 nucleotides) under Bacteroidales bacterium. RNAcentral describes it as "tRNA-Phe". It matches the Rfam family "tRNA". Rfam says of the family: Transfer RNA (tRNA) molecules are approximately 80 nucleotides in length. Their secondary structure includes four short double-helical elements and three loops (D, anti-codon, and T loops). The record is from RNAcentral. Lineage: Bacteria; Pseudomonadati; Bacteroidota; Bacteroidia; Bacteroidales.
GGAGCUAUAGCUCAGUCGGUAGAGCAACGGACUGAAAAUCCGUGUGUCACUGGUUCAAUUCCAGUUAGCUCCA